GGCGCCAUAGCUUAGUGGUAGAGCGCUUGUCUAGUAAACAAGAGGUCGUGAGUUCAAUUCUCACUGGUGCCU
This is a transfer RNA of Folsomia candida, 72 nucleotides long. It matches the Rfam family "tRNA". Rfam says of the family: Transfer RNA (tRNA) molecules are approximately 80 nucleotides in length. Their secondary structure includes four short double-helical elements and three loops (D, anti-codon, and T loops). NCBI's taxonomy places the organism in Eukaryota, Metazoa, Arthropoda, Collembola, Entomobryomorpha, Isotomidae. The record is from Rfam.